This is a non-coding RNA of Caenorhabditis brenneri, 102 nucleotides long. Lineage: Eukaryota; Metazoa; Nematoda; Chromadorea; Rhabditida; Rhabditidae. The record is from Rfam.
CAUUCAAGGGUGGAGCGGGCCUGUGCUGAUUUUUGCCACGGUGAUAUUUCUAAAUUAUGACUAUCACCGGGUGGAAAUUUGGCACAGGCCCGGUCCACCCUG